Alexandromys fortis (reed vole) is the source of this 3178-nucleotide long non-coding RNA. RefSeq lists it as uncharacterized. The record is from RefSeq and is a predicted model, not a curated record. The transcript has 4 exons. NCBI's taxonomy places the organism in Eukaryota, Metazoa, Chordata, Mammalia, Rodentia, Cricetidae.
AUGUGGCGGUCACCAUUUUGGCUGAGGGUCAGAUGGGUCAGGUGACUUUUUUGCCAUCUUGGCUGAAGGCCAGAUGGGUCAGGUGACCUUUUCACCAUCUUGGCUGAGAGCCAGGUCAUGUGACCACACUGUCCUGGUUUUACCCUACCUUCUCACCCGGUUUUCACUAAAAUCCUCCUGUUAACUCUGUUACAUGUGUUUUGAGCAAUGGCAUGUCUCUGAUAGGGCCUGUCAGAGGCGUCCACGUUGCCUAAUUCUUGUUCACUCUCUGUAUGUAUAAUAAUUGUUUAUUACAUCUCAUUUCAGACUACAAAACAUGAGUCUUGUAUUUUAAACUGGUAUGUACCUUUAAGCCUCUUAAGCUGUUCUCUACCAUUGUCAGUUUUGCCACUAACCUUAUAUUUCAAGCAGCUUUUCCCUCUAUCUUUUUACAAAUGUAAAUCUUACCUGUUGAGAACCAAUGUGGUCAAGCUCAGACCCAACUUUCCAAACAAAUUCUAUACUAUAGUUAUUCCUGAUAAACAGCCCUCAACUGCUCAGAGAUCUGGGGAAUGUGAUAUUUACGUAUUUAAUUAUUAAAAACUUUUCACAACAACAAAAAGAGACAGGUUGGCUCCUAGCAGCAGCUCUCUGCUCCCUCCAAAGAAGACAGAAGACAAAUGGACACACAAAACAACGUCCUUCUGCGGUUCGCUUUGACUGCCGAGUGCUGACCAUUGGACAAACCUGCCUUUCGUCUAAAGUAAAGACCUCUCUAGAUGUGGACGGAAUCACUGGAAUCGACAGCCUAGCUGCUCAGGUCAAGGUAGGCCUGUCUUCCUACAGAUUUCUUAGCCCACAGAUCUUCUGGAGCCUGGCAGGCCCUGCGCUAAACAGCAAAGCUCAAGUGCAACCUUCACCAACCAUGGGGGAUACAAAAAGAGUAGCUCUUGGUGCCAACCAAGUAAGUUCUCUGUCAUUUUUUUAAUCAGUAACUCAAGUAAAAUCUUAUCCUUCUCAAAGAUCUCUGACAGCUUGACAGCUGAGAGGUUUCACCAGGUUGAGGUUUUGCAAGGUGACCUCACCAAACAAAUUUCAAACCAAAUUUAUCUCUUAUGCUACAGUCAUUAUAUGUCUAAAACUUCUGUUUUCACAAACCCAAGGAGUUCUCGUGAGUUCCAGGAAGCCGAAUUAAAGAAUCCACCUUAAACAGGUCAGAUACAUCCCCCUCGAUUCCCUGGUCCUAAAAUUUUUUUUUUACCUUAAUUUAACUUUGUUCUUUGUUCUGCCAAUACCUUAGGGACACCAGACAUCCCCAUGCCACAGACAUCGGUCAGAAGCAAAGAGACCAGCUAUGCCAGGAUGUUCCCAGCACACAGCCUUCUUCAGGUCACCUCCCCCCCAAAGACGACGCCCACAAAUCAGCAGGAAGCAGUUUUGAGAAUUCGCCGCCCCAAUUCCUUCAAACUGUGGUAUCUAAUCUCCUGCUUUUUAUUAUAAGGAAGACCUGGGAAUAUUAUGGUUUUGGUCCCUUUAAGAGACAAGCCACGCCCACUCCCUCCCCCAUCUGCUGAGGCAGACUGAUCUUCAGCUUCUGGCCUGAGUUCGCUCCCUUUUCCAUCUUCCUCUCAGAGAGGCAGCUUCGCUUCUGCCUCUCUUCCCACUUCUCUGUCUCUCUCUCCUCUUCUCCUCUCUCUCUCUGUUUCUCUCUCUCUCCCUCUCUCUCUGUCCCCCCUUCACCCUUCCUCCUCCAUAACCCCUUGAAUAAACAUUCAACCUCACCCUGCAUGUCAUGUUUAUCCAUGUUUCUGUCUUCUGCCCGCCCGCCAUGUGUCUCCCUGCCUGGGACCAGCCACUGCUCGGGGACCAGCAGCCGUCUCUGCCUGGGGCCCACUGCCUGCUGCCACAUGGCCCGCCAUCACCGCUCUGGGACCAGCAGCCAUUUCUGCCUGGGACUGGCUGGUCCCAGAGCCCGCUGCCUGCCACCACAUGGCCCGCCAUCGCCAUUUGGGACCUACAGCAUUUCUGCUGCCUACUGCCGCGGGGAUCUUGCAGCAUUUUUUAAAAAGAACUACACUGAUGGCAUCCUUCCUCAGGCUGGUGUUCCAGACUGGAAAGGAGAAGUACACUGAGCCCCAGCACGCACCACUCCAUUUCCUGAAUGUGUGUGCACUGUGACCGGCUGCCUCAAGCCUGCUGCCAUGAUGUCCCUAGAAGACGAUAGCAGCCCUUCCAAGCAGACUGCUUGGUGUUUUUUGUCAUAACAACGAGAAGAGUCACCAAGACAAAGUCCAUGGCUGUGAAUCCUCAUGCUGGGUUUUUCCUCAAUGACCUUAGCCCUGCUCAUGUGUUUGUGGUCAGACUUCAAGAAUUUUAACCCCCUUGAGUGUGUCAUUUGAUUUUCUGCAAGGACACCAACUAUGCAUAUAAAUAGAUGUACAAACUCAACAGGUUUCCCACACACCAGCCACGACUAACAAGCAGUACAGAAUGAUGACUCAGAUGCUAGAGCCAAUCUUCCCAUUGCGUAGACCACUAUCGAGUCACCUUGAGAAGGAGGGGAUUUAUUUCAGCAUCGAGAUGAGAUUAGAGUGAAUCCCCGAGGGAAGCCAUGGCAGCAGCUGAAGCACAGACCAUAGAGGGAUGCUGCUCACUGGCCAGAGUGCUGUGGUCUUCAUGAGAUAUCAGGAACCUGAUGAUAACUGAAUGGGGACAGCUCACUGGAGCCUCCUUGAUGAGAGGCCAGCAAAAGGGUCUUUUACUGAAGCUGAAACACUGAUUCUGAAGACCAACAGACUCUUGUUUCUUCCUCCCCAGCACUGGAUUUACAGGUGUGUGUCAGCACACUCCCAGCUUCCAGUGCAGACUCUGGGGAUCUAAAUUCAGACCUUCAGGCUUGCUCAGCAGGCGCAUUGCUAACCAAGCUGUCACCCCACCCUUUGAGGAUUUUAUCUGUUAAAGCAGAACAGAUGGGAGAGGCUGAUGACCAAUUCUUCUGGAAUGAGCUCUUAUAGUUGAUGAAGACGUGAGAUCAGUACUAAUUUUUUUCACUCUUGGUUGGGCACUUUUGAGGCAUGUUUACAAAAAUAACCAAUAUCACCCAGCAAGAUUGAGUCCCAGGAGCCGACAGGGACCAUAGGCUCAGAACUGAACCCCGUAUUUGGUUUCUGUAUUUCCAUGACUAAAUUUCUCCACCUUC